Molecule: long non-coding RNA, 241 nt
Filed under: Panax ginseng (ginseng)
Lineage: Eukaryota; Viridiplantae; Streptophyta; Magnoliopsida; Apiales; Araliaceae
Description: long non-coding RNA (PGIN_LNC008708)
Source: RNAcentral
GAAUUUGAUAUAAUAUUAUAGUUGUGGGUAAUAUUUAUAAAUUUUGCAAAGUACGCAAGUUGUUUUAUAAUAUUCGAUUGGUCUGGAAAUAUUCGUUUUAACAGGGAAUAUUCGUACAACAGCACAAUCAUUGGUGGACCCCACAAAAGAAUUAUUGUCGGAUUGAGAAAACGACAAAAAUACUUUAUAAAAAUAACGGCGGAAGUUUUAUCAAUAACUGUUGAAACACCCGGUGUUAAAA